RNAcentral lists this long non-coding RNA (208 nucleotides) under Nicotiana benthamiana. RNAcentral describes it as "long non-coding RNA (NBEN_LNC000260)". The record is from RNAcentral. Lineage: Eukaryota; Viridiplantae; Streptophyta; Magnoliopsida; Solanales; Solanaceae.
UUGAUUUUUUAUUUUUCAAAUAUUAGUUUUGCGGACGAAAGGGGUUCUUGGUCCAUUGUUUUAGUUGUUUAACUCCUGCUAUGAGGUCAGCAUUUCAAGCGUCGCUGACAUCUCUUUUAUGCAGUUAAACUGAACAAAAGACUCAAAAAGUUAAAGCACAUCAUACACCAAGGAUCAAACACUCGACCUCUCUAAGAGGAUAGACGGU